This 494-nucleotide ribosomal RNA is filed under the name uncultured bacterium. RNAcentral's name for it is "bacterial SSU rRNA". It matches the Rfam family "Bacterial small subunit ribosomal RNA", at positions 30 to 510 of the family's 1533-position model. The record is from RNAcentral.
AUUGAACGCUGGCGGCAGGCUUAACACAUGCAAGUCGAACGGUAACAGAAAGAAGCUUGCUUCUUUGCUGACGAGUGGCGGACGGGUGAGUAAUGCUUGGGAAUAUGCCUUAUGGUGGGGGACAACAGUUGGAAACGACUGCUAAUACCGCAUAACAUCUCCGGAUCAAAGUGGGGGACCUUCGGGCCUCACGCCAUAAGAGUAGCCCAAGUGGGAUUAGCUAGUUGGUAAGGUAAUGGCUUACCAAGGCGACGAUCCCUAGCUGGUCUUAGAGGAUGACCAGCCACACUGGAACUGAGACACGGUCCAGACUCCUACGGGAGGCAGCAGUGGGGGAAUAUUGCACAAUGGAGGAAACUCUGAUGCAGCCAUGCCGCGUGUGUGAAGAAGGCUUUCGGGUUGUAAAGCACUUUCAGCGAGGAGGAAAGGGUGUGUUUUAAUAGAGCACAUCUGUGACGUUACUCGCAGAAGAAGCACCGGCUAACUCCGUGCCC